RNAcentral lists this ribosomal RNA (433 nucleotides) under uncultured bacterium. RNAcentral describes it as "partial 16S ribosomal RNA". It matches the Rfam family "Bacterial small subunit ribosomal RNA", at positions 29 to 507 of the family's 1533-position model. The record is from RNAcentral.
AACGAACGCUGGCGGCAGGCUUAACACAUGCAAGUCGAACGGAUCCUUCGGGAUUAGUGGCAGACGGGUGAGUAACGCGUGGGAACGUACCCUUUGCUACGGAAUAACUCAGGGAAACUUGAGCUAAUACCGUAUGUGCCCUACGGGGGAAAGAUUUAUCGGCAAAGGAUCGGCCCGCGUUGGAUUAGCUAGUUGGUGGGGUAAUGGCCUACCAAGGCGACGAUCCAUAGCUGGUCUGAGAGGAUGAUCAGCCACACUGGGACUGAGACACGGCCCAGACUCCUACGGGAGGCAGCAGUGGGGAAUAUUGGACAAUGGGCGCAAGCCUGAUCCAGCCAUGCCGCGUGAGUGAUGAAGGUCUUAGGAUUGUAAAGCUCUUUCACCGGUGAAGAUAAUGACGGUAGCCGGAGAAGAAGCCCCGGCUAACCUCGUG